UCAGGUAGCUCAGUCGGUAGAGCAGGGGACUGAAAAUCCCCGUGUCGGCGGUUCAAUUCCGUCCCUGA
This 68-nucleotide transfer RNA is filed under the name uncultured Megasphaera sp. It matches the Rfam family "tRNA". From Rfam's summary of the family: Transfer RNA (tRNA) molecules are approximately 80 nucleotides in length. The record is from RNAcentral. Lineage: Bacteria; Bacillati; Bacillota; Negativicutes; Veillonellales; Veillonellaceae.